GUACUCACUUUGGCAGCACAUAUACUAAAAUUGGAAUGAUACAGAGAAGAUUACCAUGGCCCUGUGCAAGGAUGACAUGCAAAUUCAUGAAGCAUUCCAUAUUUUU
RNAcentral lists this small nuclear RNA (106 nucleotides) under Dasypus novemcinctus (nine-banded armadillo). Lineage: Eukaryota; Metazoa; Chordata; Mammalia; Cingulata; Dasypodidae. The record is from RNAcentral.